AAACACUAAAAAUUAAAAAAAAAAAAAAAAAUGUAUUCACUUAUUUUGGCAGUACCAGGGGUUGGCACCAGGGCCUCGCUUGCUAGGUGAGCACUCUUCCACUGAAGUACAUCCCCAGUCUUAGGUUUUCCCUCAGUUGCCCUGGCUGGCCUUGAACUUAAGAUCCCCCUGCAUCAGCCUCUUGAGGAGCCUGAUGACGGGCCUGUGCCACCACGCCUGGCUCAUACUGAUAUGUUUGAAGUCCACUGGGUUUAUGUGUUUCCUCCAGAUUUGAUUUAGGCUGUGCCUCUUUUCACUUUUUGACAGCACAGGUAUAAGUGUUGUAGUUGUUUCUCAUAGUCUCCCUUGGUCAGAGGCACCAAGGGCUGCUUCUCUGUUACUGGUGAUGUUGAGGUGAUGUAUGCCACCCUUCUCCCCUGUGAAGGUUCCAACACUGGGGACUACCCUGUUCCUACAGUGAAUCUUGCCCCAGGCCUUCUGCUUUGCAGGAGAGUUUGUCCUUCCUCCCUAUUCAUUUCUUGGUGUGUUUAUUUGUAAAGACUUCAGAAAGAGAAAAUUUGAUGGAUUGAUUGUGGUCUUAUCAGUAUCAAGGCAAAAAAAUUGAAGGGGAGGGCAGAGCCUCAACCUUUUCCUGUUUGAUAGGAUAUCAUCAACCAUUAUGUGGGGGAUAAAAGGGUGUUCUGAUCAAGCAUGGUGAAAGUGACGUGUACAGAUUCCUCAGUUUCCUUCGGUGUGGUACUUGUCAAAGGCGUGAUGUGCUGAUGCACUUGUGAGUGACAGGAGGGUUAAAGUGUGUUAGAGAGACCCUGACUCUCCCAGCACCUCUGUGGGCAUCUUCCAUUGAUAUUAAAUGAAUCUGCUGCCUUUGUAAUAAACAUUAAAUUGGGGGUUUUAAGGGAAUUUGUGUUGAGGAGUGGGUUAGUGGUGGCAGAAGAAAAAGAGAAAACAAACUAAACACUGCUGUGGCUGGCAAAGUAAAC
This 980-nucleotide long non-coding RNA is filed under the name Marmota monax (woodchuck). The record is from RNAcentral. Lineage: Eukaryota; Metazoa; Chordata; Mammalia; Rodentia; Sciuridae.